This 429-nucleotide ribosomal RNA is filed under the name Bacteroidota bacterium. RNAcentral's name for it is "Bacteroidetes bacterium partial 16S ribosomal RNA". It matches the Rfam family "Bacterial small subunit ribosomal RNA", at positions 355 to 776 of the family's 1533-position model. The record is from RNAcentral. Lineage: Bacteria; Pseudomonadati; Bacteroidota.
UAGGGAAUCUUCCGCAAUGGACGCAAGUCUGACGGAGCAACGCCGCGUGAGUGAAGAAGGAUUUCGGUUCGUAAAACUCUGUUGUUAGAGAAGAACAGCGCAUAGAGUAACUGUUAUGCGUGUGACGGUAUCUAACCAGAAAGCCACGGCUAACUACGUGCCAGCAGCCGCGGUAAUACGUAGGUGGCUAGCGUUGUCCGGAUUUAUUGGGCGUAAAGCGAGCGCAGGCGGUCAAUUAAGUCUGAUGUGAAAGCCCCCGGCUCAACCGGGGAGGGUCAUUGGAAACUGGUUGACUUGAGUGCAGAAGAGGAGAGUGGAAUUCCAUGUGUAACGGUGAAAUGCGUAGAUAUAUGGAGGAACACCAGUGGCGAAGGCGACUCUCUGGUCUGUAACUGACGCUGAGGUUCGAAAGCGUGGGUAGCAAACAGG